RNAcentral lists this ribosomal RNA (328 nucleotides) under uncultured eukaryote. Its description in RNAcentral is "partial 18S ribosomal RNA". It matches the Rfam family "Eukaryotic small subunit ribosomal RNA", at positions 1470 to 1796 of the family's 1831-position model. The record is from RNAcentral.
CCCUUAGAUGUUCUGGGCUGCACGCGCGCUACACUGAUGCGUUCAACGAGUUUACGGCCUUGCCCGAUAGGGUUGGGUAAUCUUCUUAAAACGCAUCGUGAUGGGGAUAGAUUAUUGCAAUUAUUAAUCUUCAACGAGGAAUGCCUAGUAGGCGCAAGUCAUCAGCUUGCGUCGAUUACGUCCCUGCCCUUUGUACACACCGCCCGUCGCUCCUACCGAUUGGGUGUGCUGGUGAAAUGUUCGGAUCGGCCGUUUGUCGCGGUUUCCGCGGCUCGUGGCUGAGAAGUUCAUUAAACCCUCCCACCUAGAGGAAGGAGAAGUCGUAACA